Molecule: long non-coding RNA, 775 nt
Filed under: Homo sapiens (human)
Lineage: Eukaryota; Metazoa; Chordata; Mammalia; Primates; Hominidae
Description: HSALNT0028723
Source: RNAcentral
AGAGUUUUGGCCUCAGCCGUUUGACUCUAAUCAGGAAAUCAUUUUUAGAAAGAUUUGUCAGUGUAAGAAAACAAGCUCCUGAACUAAAUUAGGAUCUGGAUUAUUUUUCCCUCCUCUCUCGAUCUGCAGUGCAAGGCAGAGUGGUGAGCCAUCACGGUUUUGUGUGUGGUGAAUUUGUUUCCACUGCACAUUUUAAUUCGGAGCUCCUGAAGGUGUCUGUGUUUGUAAGGACUGUGUUUUUGGAGCUGCUCCCUCGGAGUAAUGAAUUCACGGCAUGUCUCUGGGAAAUUAAGGUUUCUUUUCUGGGAGCUGCUAUCACUGAAUACAUAAAGAAAUUGAGCCUAUAUGAUUUCAAUCUUCACCUUCUGAUGCUGAUGAAACAGGAUUCUAUGCAGUUUUCCACAGGGAGAAGCAGCAGGCUGAAGUGGCUCUUUAGGGAGACACAUACCUCCACAGGAAGAGCAGUCUAGAUUGUUUUAGCACAUUCCACUUAAGGAUUGCAGUGUGACAGCAGAGAAAAUCCUCUCCAGUCAAGUAAUUGCAUCCAUUUCAUCUUCCCAGCCCUCCUCUAGAUGGGAGGUGGAGGUGUGUGUACCAAUCUCUUAAUUCAGAAAUGAGACAAGAGGAGGAAAAAGGAGUUCCGGAGGACAGUGGGGACCCCAGCCAGAGCCUGGGGACUUGGCUGCCUUGGAACCAGAACCUGGCCCCUCAGAGGAGUUGCAGAAUUUCGAUAGAGGAGUGGCAGGAGGUGUACUGGCUGAAGAGGAGGCCCAAG